This is a non-coding RNA of Lamprotornis superbus, 74 nucleotides long. The record is from the annotation of a GenBank genome assembly. NCBI's taxonomy places the organism in Eukaryota, Metazoa, Chordata, Aves, Passeriformes, Sturnidae.
UCAUUAUUAGCUCAGUUGGUUAGAACAUGGUGCUAAUAACAUCAAGGUCAUGGCUUCAAUCCCUAUAUGAGCCA